Long non-coding RNA from Carassius carassius (crucian carp), 218 nucleotides. RefSeq lists it as uncharacterized. The transcript is spliced from 3 exons. Lineage: Eukaryota; Metazoa; Chordata; Actinopteri; Cypriniformes; Cyprinidae. The record is from RefSeq and is a predicted model, not a curated record.
UGACAUCAUGAUCCAGGAAGUGACAUCAGACAUGGAGGGAAAUCAACACAAACUUCAGCAUCUGUAACUCUGUCUCUCCGGGGCUUUAUGUGUUGUCAGGCAAUCAAGCGUUUAUUCGGGUCACUCAAUCUGCAGAGUUGGAGAAUCACAACAUGGGGUGCAAGAAACUUCAAGGGCGAAAAAAGGAGAAACACGAGAAAGACGCGAGGACCAUGGAG